GCCUAGGCUGCUGAGGCGGCCAUCUAGACACAGAUUAAUAGCUCGCCAAUUUUUUGAACGAUUUUAGGAUAAUCGCAGCGGCAGACCGCCCUUUAAUACCUAGGAGGCCGUCUUGACCGCUUUUUAGAACAUUAGUGACAUGUGCUUCACACAUGAUUUGUGUUUAGGGUUAUUUGAUCAUUCUAACACUUUACUUCCCUUUUAUUUUAGUUUAUGUGACAAAUUGAAAAUUGUAUAUAAGUUUAUAUGACAUUUUAAAUGUUUUUCCAUAUAUAUAGCCUUGUAUGUAGCCCGAAAUAAAUAGUUCCUCGUUGGGAGAUAUUCUCUUAUAAAGUCCGAAGAUUCUUGAGAG
Molecule: long non-coding RNA, 352 nt
Filed under: Malus domestica (apple)
Lineage: Eukaryota; Viridiplantae; Streptophyta; Magnoliopsida; Rosales; Rosaceae
Description: long non-coding RNA (MDOM_LNC000362)
Source: RNAcentral